RNAcentral lists this microRNA precursor (69 nucleotides) under Schistosoma margrebowiei. Its description in RNAcentral is "mir-3492 microRNA precursor family". It matches the Rfam family "mir-3492 microRNA precursor family". Lineage: Eukaryota; Metazoa; Platyhelminthes; Trematoda; Strigeidida; Schistosomatidae. The record is from Rfam by way of RNAcentral.
AGCCUUCUGUAUCCGUGCUGAGAUUUCAUCACACACCAGACCACAAGGGCUGNCAAGAUAAAUGAAGCG